Long non-coding RNA from Rattus rattus (black rat), 437 nucleotides. RefSeq lists it as uncharacterized. The transcript has 2 exons. The record is from RefSeq and is a predicted model, not a curated record. NCBI's taxonomy places the organism in Eukaryota, Metazoa, Chordata, Mammalia, Rodentia, Muridae.
AUUUUUUGCCAAAGGGAGAUUUGAGUAAAGGAGAAUGCCGUGAGCGCAAGAUCCGUGCGUAAGGGCUGCUGUCUGUCGAGCUUUGGCAGUUCAGCUUUAACUUCCUGGAGCUGCUGAGAGGAGGCAGAGGCUGCCAACCUUUGUGACCGCCGGAGGGACAGUUCACACCCCCCUGACUGUUGUGCCACUGGCUGCUGUUUGGCUUCCUGCAAGAGAGUUUCUAGCUCUUCAAUUUUUUCAUCCCGCUCCUAAGAGGGAAGCAGAGAGCACAGUUCUGUCCAGGGUCAGACAAAUACCAAAGGACCAGACUAAAAGAACAUAAACACUUAUGCUCGACAUUAGCCCAUUAGCACACUUUCACGGUGAACUCAUCCCUAAACUCAAACUCAGUAGCUGCAAGGCACUAAGGGAAACUAAUAAAAACGAAUUCUAUAUUA